Molecule: long non-coding RNA, 371 nt
Organism: Camelus dromedarius (Arabian camel)
Lineage: Eukaryota; Metazoa; Chordata; Mammalia; Artiodactyla; Camelidae
Exons: 3
Source: RefSeq, a predicted model, not a curated record
CCUAUGGUGACAUCCAACUGUAAAUUUUGUUCCCUUUACCUGAGUUACAAAGGGAUUUGUUGUUGUUCUCCCCAGUUUAUGUAUGGAUGCGGUAUAUCAGAAAAGUAAUCCAACACGGCGUCUAUACAAAGGAGCUGCAGCAAGGGAUUCAUUAAUACAGCCUGUCUUCGGGGAAGAAGCCCAGAGACCUUGCCAGCACCUUGCCAAAGAACAGUAGGGUUCCCUCUGGAUAUAUGCCCAGGAGUGGGAUUGCUGGAUCAUAUGAUCCUCUGGCGCCCCAGGAGGACAGAGACGUUGCAGGACUUUGACACCCCGUAUCACGUGGUGUCCUGGGACCCCCUUUCAUGGCAACUUUUCUCAACUGCAGGUCA